GAGGGGGGGGGGGACCGCCGGACAGUUCGUGAGGUGUUGGCCCUCUCAAAAGCCAAUUUCCCCAAACUAGUCUUUCUUUCCGAGACUAGACAAGAUGCAAGGAAAGUUGAAAAACUGAAGUGGAGACUUGGCUUGAAAGGUUUCCAUGGGGCGAGUAGUGAUGACAGAAGUGGUGGCUUGGCCUUGUUCUGGGAUGAA
This 198-nucleotide ribosomal RNA is filed under the name Triticum aestivum (bread wheat). RNAcentral's name for it is "partial small subunit ribosomal RNA". The record is from RNAcentral. Lineage: Eukaryota; Viridiplantae; Streptophyta; Magnoliopsida; Poales; Poaceae.